GACGUAGGGCGCGAGCGUUGUCCGGAUUUAUUGGGCGUAAAGAGCUCGUAGGCGGUCUGUCGCGUCGGCUGUGAAAACCCGAGGCUCAACCUCGGGCCUGCAGUCGAUACGGGCAAACUAGAGUACUGCAGGGGAGACUGGAAUUCCUGGUGUAGCGGUGAAAUGCGCAGAUAUCAGGAGGAACACCGGUGGCGAAGGCGGGUCUCUGGGCAGUAACUGACGCUGAGGAGCGAAAGCGUGGGGAGCGAACAGG
RNAcentral lists this ribosomal RNA (253 nucleotides) under uncultured bacterium. Its description in RNAcentral is "partial 16S ribosomal RNA". It matches the Rfam family "Bacterial small subunit ribosomal RNA", at positions 524 to 776 of the family's 1533-position model. The record is from RNAcentral.